Molecule: transfer RNA, 78 nt
Filed under: Salmonella phage FSL SP-107
Lineage: Duplodnaviria; Heunggongvirae; Uroviricota; Caudoviricetes; Andersonviridae
Description: tRNA-Asp
Source: RNAcentral
GUCUGGUCAUUAAGAAUUGCGGGUAUAGAGAAAGGGCGUCUCACAUGUCUCAUUAGCAUGGUAUCGGCAGGUUCGACU